RNAcentral lists this ribosomal RNA (462 nucleotides) under uncultured beta proteobacterium. RNAcentral's name for it is "bacterial SSU rRNA". It matches the Rfam family "Bacterial small subunit ribosomal RNA", at positions 202 to 645 of the family's 1533-position model. Lineage: Bacteria; Pseudomonadati; Pseudomonadota; Betaproteobacteria. The record is from RNAcentral.
GGAAGCAGGGGAUCGUAAGACCUUGCGCUUUUGGAGCGGCCGAUGUCUGAUUAGCUAGUUGGUGGGGUAAUGGCCUACCAAAGCUUCGAUCAGUAGCUGGUCUGAGAGGACGGCCAGCCACACUGGGACUGAGACACGGCCCAGACUCCUACGGGAGGCAGCAGUGGGGAAUUUUGGACAAUGGGCGCAAGCCUGAUCCAGCCAUGCCGCGUGAGUGAAGAAGGCCUUCGGGUUGUAAAGCUCUUUCAGCCGGGAAGAAAAGGCUGCGACUAAUAAUCGCAGUUCAUGACGGUACCGGAAGAAGAAGCACCGGCUAACUACGUGCCAGCAGCCGCGGUAAUACGUAGGGUGCGAGCGUUAAUCGGAAUUACUGGGCGUAAAGGGUGCGCAGGCGGUUUUGUAAGUCAGAUGUGAAAUCCCCGGGCUUAACCUGGGAACUGCGUUUGAAACUACAAAGCUAGA